This 586-nucleotide ribosomal RNA is filed under the name uncultured bacterium. Its description in RNAcentral is "partial 16S ribosomal RNA". It matches the Rfam family "Bacterial small subunit ribosomal RNA", at positions 355 to 1375 of the family's 1533-position model. The record is from RNAcentral.
UGGGGAAUUUUGGACAAUGGGCGAAAGCCUGAUCCAGCAAUGCCGCGUGUGUGAAGAAGGCCUUCGGGUCGUAAAGCACUUUUGUCCGGAAAGAAAUCCUUGGCUCUAAUGCAGUCGGGGGAUGACGGUACCGGAAGAAUAAGCACCGGCUAACUACGUGCCAGCAGCCGCGGUAAUACGUAGGGUGCAAGCGUUAAUCGGAAUUACUGGGCGUAAAGCGUGCGCAGGCGGUUUGCUAAGACCGAUGUGAAAUCCCCGGGCUCAACCUGGGAACUGCAUUGGUGACUGGCAGGCUAGAGUAUGGCAGAGGGGGGUAGAAUUCCACGUGUAGCAGUGAAAUGCGUAGAGAUGUGGAGGAAUACCGAUGGCGAAGGCAGCCCCCUGGGCCAAUACUGACGCUCAUGCACGAAAGCGUGGGGAGCAAACAGGAUUAGAUACCCUGGUAGUCCACGCCCUAAAACGAUGUCAACUAGUUGUUGGGGAUUCAUUUCCUUAGUAACGUAGCUAACGCGUGAAGUUGACCGCCUGGGGAGUACGGUCGCAAGAUUAAAACUUAAAUGAAUUGACGGGGUCAUAGCUGUUUCCU